UCUGACAUUCCUCCUAGUCGCAACUGGAGGCUCUUUUUUUCUUCUUCUUUACUUGUUUUCUAUUUUGUGCUUUUUUUUUUUUCAAUUUCAUUUCUCCACGUUUUUUCGUUACGCUCACUCUUGUGAGUCUGUUUUUCUCCUGGAUAUUUAAACAAGAAAAAUCAACAACUAAAAGGAUGUGACAUUGUCGAAAGUACGUUGGUAAACGCUCUGUUUUUGUUAUCUAAUCAGUUUUCCUCUUUUUGUUUCGGCUAACCCCACAGGUCCAUCGACAAAGGUUAGAAAAGAAAAACAAGCGAGAAAGUUUUGCACGAUUCUUUCUUGUUGUCUGCAGACACAACAAGCGGCCAGUCGUUUUCCGCUUAACACUUUAGUGGCUGACCUCGUGGGCCAUCAACCUCUUCGAGCUAUUCCAGUUGCCUUUUCAAUUGCUUCUAUGCCUAUGGAAAACGUGUGCCACGGCAGGUCGAGCCCCCUCCUCCGGUUGACAUAGAUACUUACCUGCCAGGUAGACGGGGGCACGUCUAAUAGCUGAGAACAAAGACCAGAAGCAAAUAUAAAAAAAAAAAAAAGACGCCAAGGCAAUGGCUGACAUUUGCGAAGUGGAUACGCACAUCAGCAAACGUUACGAUGUUAAGAAACGGCUCGGCAAAGGCGCGUACGGCAUCGUCUGGAAGGCCAUGGAUAAAAAGACGGGCGGCGUCGUGGCCGUCAAGAAAAUAUUCGAUGCGUUCCGAAAUCAAACAGACGCCCAGCGAACAUUUCGUGAAAUUAUGUUCCUGCAACAUUUUGGCGAUCAUCCUAACAUUAUCCGAUUGCUGGACGUCCAUCGAGCCGACAACGAUAAAGACAUCUACCUCGUAUUCGAGUAUAUGGACACGGACUUGCACAACGUCAUCAAACGUGGUAACAUCCUCAAGGAAGUGCACAAGCAAUACAUUUUGUAUCAGCUGUUUCGGGCCACCAAGUACCUGCAUUCUGGCAACGUGAUUCAUCGUGAUCAAAAGCCUUCGAAUAUCCUGUUGGACGCUGACUGCCGAUGUAAGAUAGCCGAUUUUGGUCUGGCCCGCUCUUUGGUCCAGGACGUCUCUGAAGAUGGCCAAACAGACAAUGUGAUGACCGACUAUGUGGCAACCAGAUGGUAUCGGGCGCCGGAGAUCCUGCUGGCUUCCAAACGGUACACAAAAGGAGUGGACAUGUGGAGUUUAGGAUGUAUUUUAGGAGAAAUCCUAUUGGGCCAGCCGCUCUUUCCUGGCACUUCUACGCUCAAUCAAUUGGAGAAAAUUAUGGCGUCGAUUCCUCCACCUUCCAAAGAAGAUAUACAAUCGCUUAGCUCUGGCUAUGCGUCUACCUUGCUGGAGAAAUCAAUGAUGGUACCCAAACAGCCGCUUCGAACCAUUUUGGCUGCUGCUCCUGUGGACGCCAUCGAUCUCCUGGAAAAGCUGCUAGUCCUCAAUCCGCACAAACGUUUAACGGCUGAACAAGCGCUGGAACAUCCGUACGUCCGUGCGUUCCACAAACCUGAAAGAGAGCCAGCGCUGGAUCACGACGUUGUGCCAACAUUAAGCGAUGCCAUUCAGCUAACGGUGGACGAAUAUCGGACUAAACUUUACGAAGUCAUCGCCUAUCAAAAGCGGCAGGAAAUCCGCGAGCUUUCGCCUUUCAAAUUCAUCCGGGAUUCCAACACGGAUUCAUCUUCGCCCAAGAACUCACCGAAAGAAACGAGUAAAACGAUUCCGAAAACAAAAUCCAGCGUGGAUUCAUCAUCCGAGUCUCGCGUUCAACAAUCGAAGAUGAAGUACAGUAGCAUUCCGACCGAUUCAUCCGGUGGUUCGUCAGGAAACAACCGAUCGGUUGAUAUCCCCCGUCCUCCGGAUCGUAAAUUGGUGAGCAGACAUUCGGAUGAUGUGAUGCGGAGUAGGGAAAAAUCAGCAAAAGUGUUGAGCACCAACAAAUUAUCUUCGCCAUCCACCGCAAUUCCACGAUCGCAUUCUGGUCAUUGCUUAGUCAAAUACCAUCAGACCAACUCGUCAACUGACUCGGAACCCAGCAAAAGUUCUCCGUUAAAGACGAGUUGUUCGGCCAGCCAUUUGCUCGCCACCAGCAUGGAACAAAAUUGCAAUAUUAGUAACACUAGUUGUCGGGCAACUGUUAGCAACGCACAACCUCCACUUCGUUCGGCCUGUGAAUUCCAGCAACGUCGCAAACCAGCACGACAGCGUCGAGAUUUGCUGGCCGCUAUGGGAAAAACCUAUUCAGCCGAAGUUUAGACAAUCCCGUCAUUACACGGACGGUGACUAUCCCACGGGUAAUAAUCCCGUUAUGUACUGCCACUUCGGCGGAAAAGGCGCUUGGCAGCACAACGACGGGCGUCGUCCGUGACAAUAAAAUCCCUCGGCCAGCACCGACGUUUGGCAAGAGGCAAUUCACUUCGUUGAACAACGUCUCUAACUUGACGACCAGUGCUGGAGCAGCUAACGUAGGCGGAAUUACGGGAACGAGCAAGUUCGUGUCGUCGCAUGGCACCAUCACGGCAUCGGCUUUGCAAGAACUGCGUCAAAGUAUCAAAUGAUAACGAACAUAAUUUGAAUCAUUUUUAAAAAGAAAAAGCAAUUUCUAAUGGGUGAUAUCUCUUUCCCUAAAGCUAUUUUUUUUUUGUCGUUACAUUUGCAACACUUGCCAUACGAACAAAAUAACUGUUCUUUGAUACGAGACUCUAGUCUACACUUUCCAGAUACCCCACCCAAUUUCUUUAAGUUUUUUUUUUUAUUUUCUAGAAAUAUCAUAUUUUGGUAUGACCAGGUAUCUCAGGUUCCCUUUAAUAUUUUGCCAGUGAGGAAGACGAAUCGGGCAGAUUUCAUUAUUCCUCAUCGUUAAUGCUUGUCAAGAUGACGCGAAUUGUAUGAUAAAAUAUUAAGGGAUAUGAUUUAGUCGUAAACUAGAUAGCAAUUGCUCACGCAACACGACGGUCGUGUUUGGUCGAUGAUUCAAUCGACUGAUGUAUUUGGAUAAAAACGACAACAAUUUCACUUUUGUGUGUGUGUGGGUGUCUAGUUCCUUUCCCCUGUAUCCACCCUCUCUGUAUACUCCCCUCGUUAUCUACUGCGGAAGUGAUGCGUUUCCAUUUCAGGAAAUAUCCGAACCUUCCGCAUGCGAAAUUACGACGCCCAUCAGAUACGACAUAGGGUGGGGUAGACGCUCAUUCACCCUAUGCUGACAUUGUUCCUUUUGUGUAUUUUGGAGAGAAACAAUGCGAUUUCAAUCACUGGCUGAACGAAAUUUUUCGAAUCGAUUACUUAAACAUUUGCGCAUAUUAAACUUUGUAGUUUCAAUCGUGUAUUGUAUACCAACCCACGAUGGACGUAUUUUUCGAGAGUAACAUUGAGAGAGUCGAGCCAUAAUAUAAUAUCAAAACGA
Molecule: RNA transcript, 3417 nt
Organism: Daphnia magna
Lineage: Eukaryota; Metazoa; Arthropoda; Branchiopoda; Diplostraca; Daphniidae
Gene name: extracellular signal-regulated kinase 2
Exons: 9
Source: RefSeq, a predicted model, not a curated record